Molecule: ribosomal RNA, 301 nt
Filed under: uncultured bacterium
Lineage: Bacteria
Description: partial 16S ribosomal RNA
Rfam family: Bacterial small subunit ribosomal RNA
Source: RNAcentral
CAGCAGCCGCGGUAAUACGAAGGGGGCUAGCGUUGCUCGGAAUUACUGGGCGUAAAGGGCGCGUAGGCGGACAGUUCAGUCGGGGGUGAAAGCCCGGGGCUCAACCUCGGAAUUGCCUUCGAUACUGGCUGUCUUGAGUAUGAGAGAGGUGUGUGGAACUCCGAGUGUAGAGGUGAAAUUCGUAGAUAUUCGGAAGAACACCAGUGGCGAAGGCGACUUACUGGCCCAUUACUGACGCUGAGGUGCGAAAGCGUGGGGAGCAAACAGGAUUAGAUACCCCUGUAGUCCCUGUCUCUUAUAC